CGCUCGGCCCCGCGCCGGGCAGCUAUUUGGCACAUUUCAAUUAGCGUAACGGGUGCCUGGUAAACAGCCGAGGCCGGCUGCGGGCACCUGCAAUCCCCGACCCCCGACGCCCUCCCCGAGACCCUGGAGACGCGGCUCCGCCCCCACCGGUAAUUAGGAGAUUUUCAAGGCCGAUGUCCCCAAAGCCCAGCCCAGCUGGAGAGAUCAGCCCUGCGGUCCUGCCGCGCACUCCACCGCCAGCCUCUCGGGAGUCAAGGGAUCCGCCUUCGGGGUGAAUUGGGGUUCCACCAUGUCACCCUCAUGGAGCUUUCAUUAGCCUUGUUUGGGAUACAAAGGGGUAAGUGUCCCCUCAUUUUAGAGAAAGAUCAAGAGCCAGUGAACAGGAUUUCCCAGCCAGGGACAUGGAGCAGGGCACCUGCAGAUGGUCCACGUGCUCUUGGCUGAUGGCAGCCCACCUCCGGGAGGGGCCUGUGCACCUUUCUCCCAGGAGGAGGGAAGGACCCAAUCAUUAUCCAGAGUCAACGCAGGGACUUCCUUUGGGUGGCUUGGAGCAGACAGCACCCAGCUCUGCAGACCUGAGCACCCCAUGUGCCCCAAGUGACAUGGAGCA
This 610-nucleotide non-coding RNA is filed under the name Pan troglodytes (chimpanzee). Lineage: Eukaryota; Metazoa; Chordata; Mammalia; Primates; Hominidae. The record is from RNAcentral.